Molecule: transfer RNA, 87 nt
Filed under: Acidobacteriota bacterium
Lineage: Bacteria; Pseudomonadati; Acidobacteriota
Description: tRNA-Leu
Rfam family: tRNA
About the family: Transfer RNA (tRNA) molecules are approximately 80 nucleotides in length.
Source: RNAcentral
GCCGAAGUGGCGGAACUGGUAGACGCGCAUGGUUCAGGACCAUGUGGGCGCAAGCCCGUGGGAGUUCGAGUCUCCCCUUCGGCACCA